This 1500-nucleotide ribosomal RNA is filed under the name uncultured Bordetella sp. RNAcentral describes it as "partial 16S-23S ribosomal RNA intergenic spacer". It matches the Rfam family "Bacterial small subunit ribosomal RNA". Lineage: Bacteria; Pseudomonadati; Pseudomonadota; Betaproteobacteria; Burkholderiales; Alcaligenaceae. The record is from RNAcentral.
GUAGCGGCCUCGGGAGUAUAACGGCAGCGACAGUACUGAUCCCAAUGGUGAUCGAACGCCGGCGGACGCUUUAAUAUGCGUGGAACGAACGGUGGCAUCGCGACUUCGGACCUGGUGGAAGGCGAAGGCGAACGCAAGUAUAAUGAAUGGGAACGCCCAGUAGCGUAGCGAUAACUACGCGAAAGCGUAGCUAAUACCGCACAUUUUCGGGGAAAGGGGGACCUUCGGGCCUCUCGCCAACUAUUAGAGCGGCCGAUAUCGGAUUAGCUAGUUGGUGGGGUAAAUGCUCACUACAGCGACGAUCCGUAGCUGGUUUGAGAGGACGACCAGCCACACUGGGACUGAGACACGGCCCAGACUCCUACGGAGGCAGCAGUGGGGAAUUUUGACACAAUGGGGGAACCUGAUCCAGCUUGCUCCGGCGUGCGAUGUGAAGGCCUUCGGGUUGUAAAGCACUUUUGGCAGGAAGAAACGGCACGGGAUAAUACCCCGUGCAACUGACGGUACCUGCAGAAUAAGCACCGGCUAAUUCAUGUGCCAGCAGCCGCGGUAAUACGAAGCGUUAAUCGGAAUUACUGGGCGUAUAAAAGCGGCGCAGGCGGUUCCGAAAGAAAGAUGUAAACCCCAGAGCUUAACUUUGGAACUGCAUUUUUAACUACCCCGGAGCUAGAGUGUGUCAGAGGGAGGUGGAAUUCCGCGCAGCAGUGAAAUGCGUAGAUACGCGGAGGAACACCGAUGGCGAAGGCAGCCUCCUGGGAUAACAUCGAUGUCAUGCACGAAAGCGUGGGGAGCAAACAGGAUUAGAUACUCCUGGUAGUCCACGCCCUAAACGAUGUCAACUAGCUGUUGGGGCCUUCGGGCCUUGGUAUGCGCUAACGCGUGAAGUUGACCGCCUGGGGAGCACGGUCAAGAUUAAAACUCAAAGGAAUUGACGGGGACCCGCACAAGCGGUGGAUGAUGUGGAUUAAUCUUCAAUGCAAAACCUUUACCCACCUUUGAGAUAAAGCCCGGAACCCGGCCAGAUUUUGAGAGUGUCAAAGAGAACCGGAAUAUUAGGUGCUGGGCAUGGUUGUCGUCAGCUCGUGUCGUGAGAUGUUGUUAAGUCCUACAAAAUCGACGUCAAACCAACAAGCUGAAAGAGCACUGGUGCGCACCAAACUGAAGAAUCGCCGUGGCACAAACCGGAUGGUAAUAGACGUCGCUCCUGCGAAUCUUUACGGCAGGUUGAUGUUAGCGCAGUCGUUCGACAGGUCAACCCGCGAGGGGGAGCUAAUCCCAGAAACCCGAUCGUAGUCCGGAUCGCAGUCUGCAACUCGACUGCGUGAAGUCGAAUCGCUAGUAAUCGCGGAUCAGCAUGUCGUGUACAGAAUAUGCGUUCGGGUCUUGUACACACCGCCCGUCACACCAUGGGAGUGGCUCUUACCAGAAGAGUUAGUCUCAACCCGUGAUGCUGAUUACCACGGUAGGAUUCAUGACCGGGGUGAAGUCGUAACAAGGUAA